This is a long non-coding RNA of Macrobrachium nipponense, 749 nucleotides long. RefSeq lists it as uncharacterized. NCBI's taxonomy places the organism in Eukaryota, Metazoa, Arthropoda, Malacostraca, Decapoda, Palaemonidae. The record is from RefSeq and is a predicted model, not a curated record. The transcript is spliced from 6 exons.
UUUACAUAGUGUACAUAUUAAAAUGUGUUAAUUUUUUAAUGUAACAACUAAAUGUAAGAGUAAAUUGUAACUUCAUUAAUUUUCAUCAUUUGUAAUUUUAUUGCAGAAGUGGUGACAGUUCCAGAUCCCCCUGUACCUGGACCCUCUGUAUCAGCCCGCCCACCUGUACGUGUACAAUCAGACCCCUUUGAUAGUGACAGUGACCCAGAUGACCCUGAGCCUUUCCAUGGUUUUGAUGCCUCGCCCUAUACAUCAGAUCUAGAUGUUCCCUCAUCAGUUGAUACGAGUAUCACCUCUCCAGAGCCCAAAUCAGUUGAUACGAGUAGUAUCACCUCUCCCAUUCCUUCAGACUCCCAAGCACCUGCCCAUCCCACUCCAUAGCCCAGCCACCCACUCUCAUGUACCAUAUGGCCAUCCCAGUAAGCAAGCCAACCACUAGAAUUUGACUGGCAUGCACCUGUGACUUACAUAAACCAGACCUCUACAUAGCCUACAUGUCUUCAUUUUGCUGAAGACUGCCCAUCAUCCUAGCCUGUUAUCUGUGAUAAAGCACACUGAAGUUAGGUUUGGAAUGCAUCCUUAUCAUGAAUGCUCUAUACCUCCACCUCCAUCUCCCACAACCUAGGUAACAGCUUUGAGACUCACUAAAAGUUGGUAAGUUAUGUAAGGAAUUUCUAAAUUAAGUUUUAUACUACAUGUUAUAUGUGAUAUUAAACCACUGUAUGGUGCAUAUUACUGUAUGUAACUUA